This 368-nucleotide ribosomal RNA is filed under the name Escherichia coli. Its description in RNAcentral is "bacterial SSU rRNA". It matches the Rfam family "Bacterial small subunit ribosomal RNA", at positions 1053 to 1421 of the family's 1533-position model. The record is from RNAcentral. Lineage: Bacteria; Pseudomonadati; Pseudomonadota; Gammaproteobacteria; Enterobacterales; Enterobacteriaceae.
CGUCAGCUCGUGUUGUGAAAUGUUGGGUUAAGUCCCGCAACGAGCGCAACCCUUAUCCUUUGUUGCCAGCGGUCCGGCCGGGAACUCAAAGGAGACUGCCAGUGAUAAACUGGAGGAAGGUGGGGAUGACGUCAAGUCAUCAUGGCCCUUACGACCAGGGCUACACACGUGCUACAAUGGCGCAUACAAAGAGAAGCGACCUCGCGAGAGCAAGCGGACCUCAUAAAGUGCGUCGUAGUCCGGAUUGGAGUCUGCAACUCGACUCCAUGAAGUCGGAAUCGCUAGUAAUCGUGGAUCAGAAUGCCACGGUGAAUACGUUCCCGGGCCUUGUACACACCGCCCGUCACACCAUGGGAGUGGGUUGCAAA